RNAcentral lists this ribosomal RNA (253 nucleotides) under uncultured bacterium. RNAcentral's name for it is "partial 16S ribosomal RNA". It matches the Rfam family "Bacterial small subunit ribosomal RNA", at positions 524 to 776 of the family's 1533-position model. The record is from RNAcentral.
UACGUAGGGUGCGAGCGUUAAUCGGAAUUACUGGGCGUAAAGCGUGCGCAGGCGGUUCGUUGUGUCGGCGGUGAAAGCCCCGGGCUCAACCUGGGAAUGGCCGUUGAAACUGGCGAACUGGAGUGUGGCAGAGGGGGGUGGAAUUCCGCGUGUAGCAGUGAAAUGCGUAGAGAUGCGGAGGAACACCGAUGGCGAAGGCGGCUCACUGGCCCGAUACUGACGCUGAGGCACGAAAGCGUGGGGAGCAAACAGG